GAUGAACGCUGGCGGCGUGCCUAAUACAUGCAAGUCGAGCGAACGGACGAGAAGCUUGCUUCUCUGAUGUUAGCGGCGGACGGGUGAGUCACACGUGUAUAACCUACCUAUAAGACUGGGAUAAUUUCGGGAAACCGUAGCUAAUACCGGAUAAUAUUUUGAACCGCAUGGUUCAAAAGUGAAAGUCGGUCUUGCUGUCACUUAUAGAUGGAUCCGCGCUGCACUAGCUAGUUGGUAAGGUAACGGCUUACCAAGGCAACGAUGCAUAGCCGACCUGAGCGGGUGAUCGGCCACACGGGAACUGAGACACGGUCCAGACUCCUACGGGAGGCAGCAGUAGGGAAUCUUCCGCAAUGGGCGAAAGCCUGACGGAGCAACGCCGCGUGAGUGAUGAAGGUCUUCGGAUCGUAAAACUCUGUUAUUAGGGAAGAACAUAUGUGUAAGUAACUGUGCACAUCUUGACGGUACCUAAUCAGAAAGCCACGGCUAACUACGUG
RNAcentral lists this ribosomal RNA (497 nucleotides) under uncultured bacterium. RNAcentral describes it as "partial 16S ribosomal RNA". It matches the Rfam family "Bacterial small subunit ribosomal RNA", at positions 28 to 507 of the family's 1533-position model. The record is from RNAcentral.